GCGGAUUUAGCUCAGUUGGGAGAGCGCCAGACUGAAGUCUAAUCUGGAGGUCCUGUGUUCGAUCCACAGAAUUCGCA
Non-coding RNA from Yarrowia sp. E02, 77 nucleotides. The record is from the annotation of a GenBank genome assembly. NCBI's taxonomy places the organism in Eukaryota, Fungi, Ascomycota, Dipodascomycetes, Dipodascales.